UCCAGCGAGGAAUAUGAAAGCCGUGACCGCCACCAUUCUCACCGAGAUAAAAAGAAGCACAAGAAAGACAAGAAGAAGUCCAAGCAUAAGAAGAAGAAGCACAAGAAGCGUGUGAAGAAGCGAUCUCGGCGGGACAGCAGUGCCGACUCGCAGUCUUCACGGUCUGCGUCACGCUCCAGGUCUCCUGUCAGGAGGGACAGAGAACCAGAGAAAGAAAAGUCAGAGAGUCCCCCUCCCACCCACUGGAGACCAGGCCAGGCUCCCCUCAAACCACACAAAACAGAACUGCACCGACAGAGGGCGCCGCUCACUAACGGAGAGGACAGGGAGGAGGAGGCGUCCAGUGUCAACGGACGUCGGUCCCCUAGCCGGAGCCCCUCCCCCUCGCCUCCCCCCAGACGACGCAGCCCCUCCCCCUC
Branchiostoma belcheri (Belcher's lancelet) is the source of this 419-nucleotide long non-coding RNA. RefSeq lists it as uncharacterized. NCBI's taxonomy places the organism in Eukaryota, Metazoa, Chordata, Leptocardii, Amphioxiformes, Branchiostomatidae. The record is from RefSeq and is a predicted model, not a curated record. The transcript is spliced from 4 exons.